RNAcentral lists this ribosomal RNA (350 nucleotides) under Rhizobium sp. 92S. Its description in RNAcentral is "bacterial SSU rRNA". It matches the Rfam family "Bacterial small subunit ribosomal RNA", at positions 1014 to 1364 of the family's 1533-position model. The record is from RNAcentral. Lineage: Bacteria; Pseudomonadati; Pseudomonadota; Alphaproteobacteria; Hyphomicrobiales; Rhizobiaceae.
UUCAGUUAGGCUGGCCCCAGAACAGGUGCUGCAUGGCUGUCGUCAGCUCGUGUCGUGAGAUGUUGGGUUAAGUCCCGCAACGAGCGCAACCCUCGCCCUUAGUUGCCAGCAUUUAGUUGGGCACUCUAAGGGGACUGCCGGUGAUAAGCCGAGAGGAAGGUGGGGAUGACGUCAAGUCCUCAUGGCCCUUACGGGCUGGGCUACACACGUGCUACAAUGGUGGUGACAGUGGGCAGCGAGACAGCGAUGUCGAGCUAAUCUCCAAAAGCCAUCUCAGUUCGGAUUGCACUCUGCAACUCGAGUGCAUGAAGUUGGAAUCGCUAGUAAUCGCAGAUCAGCAUGCUGCGGUG